This 842-nucleotide ribosomal RNA is filed under the name uncultured Actinomycetes bacterium. RNAcentral's name for it is "bacterial SSU rRNA". It matches the Rfam family "Bacterial small subunit ribosomal RNA", at positions 53 to 873 of the family's 1533-position model. The record is from RNAcentral. Lineage: Bacteria; Bacillati; Actinomycetota; Actinomycetes.
ACUGACAGUCGUACGAUGAAGCCCAGCUUGCUGGGUGGAUUAGUGGCGAACGGGUGAGUAACACGUGAGUAACCUGCCCCCGACUCUGGGAUAAGCCCGGGAAACUGGGUCUAAUACCGGAUAUUACCUCUUGCCGCACGGCAGGUGGUGGAAAGAUUUAUCGGUGGGGGAUGGACUCGCGGCCUAUCAGCUUGUUGGUGAGGUAAUGGCUCACCAAGGCGACGACGGGUAGCCGGCCUGAGAGGGUGACCGGCCACACUGGGACUGAUACACGGCCCAUACUCCUACGGGAGGCAGCAGUGGGGAAUAUUGCACAAUGGGCGAAAGCCUGAUGCACCGACGCCGCGUGAGGGAUGACGGCCUUCUGGUUGUAAACCUCUUUCAAUAGGGAAGAAGCUAAAGUGACGGUACCUGCAGAAAAAGCGCCGGCUAACUACGUGCCACAGCCGCGCUGAUACGUAGGGCGCAGCGUUUCCGGAUUUAUUGGGCGUAAUAGCUCCUUGCUGCUUGUCGCGUCUGCCGUGAAAUCCGAGGCUUACCUCGGAUCUGCCUGGGUACGGGCUGACUCAGUGAUGUAGGUAGACUGGAUUCCUGGUGUAGCGAUGAAUGCCAGACUCAUGAGAACACGAUGGCAACGCUGUCUCUGGCAUUACUGCGCUUGGAAGAAUCAUGGGAGCAACUGAUAGAUACCUGGUAUCCUGCCGUAACUUGGCACUAGUGUGGGGACUUCACGUUUCCCGCCUACUAAGUUUAGUGCUCGCCGAGAGACGCGGUAGUAAACUAAUGAUUACGGGAAGCAAUCGUUAACUGUAGCUAUCCUUAUGAGGUCAUCUACUUGUUAU